GGGGUCGAUCUGGUUUCGACGUGGAUUGCAAAGCUAUUGGAGCGUGUCGAGGAUCAGUUACCUCGUAAAUCCAUCUGAAAAACUUUAAACGCAAACGACGAACGUUUCGCUCUAGCAGCUUAAUUGCCGCUAGGUCCUACAACAGCUUGCCGAUGGGCUGGGCGGGGUCAAACCUGCUGUGGGAUAAUCGCACAUUGGACCGCUUACCGGAUUGUCGCUGGCUGGUAGGUUAAAUAAAGUGACUCGCGGUGCGUGCAGGGUGUCCCUUCCCGGCAAACAUUGCUAAAACCAAAUAAGAAGACUACACACGUAGAACUGGUAGUGGAGGAUUUGCGGACGCGGGUUCAAUUCCCGCCGGCUCCACCA
Molecule: transfer-messenger RNA, 366 nt
Filed under: Limnobacter sp.
Lineage: Bacteria; Pseudomonadati; Pseudomonadota; Betaproteobacteria; Burkholderiales; Burkholderiaceae
Rfam family: transfer-messenger RNA
About the family: Bacterial tmRNA, also known as 10Sa RNA or SsrA, is named for its dual tRNA and mRNA-like properties.
Source: RNAcentral